CGUAACAGUGGCUUUCCCGUCUCCUCUGCCUCCUCAAAACCACGAUUUCCAGAGGGAUUUGCGCCCGCGGCCUGUCUCUGCUGUGCCAGCCCACGCCCUGGUCUCAAGGCAAAUUUGAAAGGAGCACCUGGGACGGGCAUGUGGCUGCCACGUGAGUUACCCUGGGAGUAUGCAAGUGGAACGGGGAGCUAUUUGAAAUCUCGAAGAUUCUGAACUCUUACCGCAGUUUUGCACCUACAGUUCCUUCUAUCUAGACAUUUACCACAUGCCCUCUGUAAAGACAGGACUGGACCAGCGCAGGUUUUCUGAUCCAGCAGACCAGGUCUAUGGGAUCGAAAAGAGAAAUGUUGCAUUAUAUUUUUUUAUGGUAGAGAAAAUGCAAAAGUGACCUCCAAGAUCUCCAUCCCAUGCAUAAACCUGUGAAUAUGAUGGAUUCUCCUUUUGUGAUUACAUUGUACGGCACAUUUGACUUUAAGAAAGAGGGAUGAUCCUAAGUGAGCCUGACCUAACCAGGAAUAUGUACCAGUACAAAGUGUUAACCUCAUUUGGAUUUGAACCCCAUCUCAACAGCAAAAGAAGGCUGAGGAUCGCCAAAUGUCAGCUCAGCUUUUGCCUGUAAGAAUAUGGUUUUUUCCUUUUCGAAAUCUUGAAAAGAAGCUCACUUUAUGAGCCCGGUAGGCUAACAGAGGUAAUUUCCUAAGGAUUUCUUCCAACCCUAAUGCCACUGUAAGGCAGUGAUAUAACCGACUCCAUGCUGAAGUGGACUUACCGAUGAAACAUAAAAGGAUGAGAUGAGGAUACAAUUCAUCCACAGAUUUUCACAGAAGACUGGGUAAUUGCUAUAGUUUCAUUCCGCUUGAUGGGUAUUUCAAGGACAUAGGGAAAACAGUUAUCUUUCUGCUUCCAAUAUACCUGUUGUGCUAAAACAGUGCAUUUGGACAUGGACCAUUAUGAAUAACAUCUUUACAUGAAUGACAAGCAGUUUCUCCUCUGCUUCUGCAGAGAUGGGUACCUAUUACACCCACUAAUUCAAUGGAGGCAGGUAUAAAGGUUCCCACAAAGGAAGAAACUAAGCAAAGGAUUAUGAUGCUUGUUAAAGUUUCUGCACCCCAAGUUGGUAGAAAAAGCUGCUGAGAAGAUCAGAAUUUUAAAUAAAGAUCUGUGUAUAACUAAAAAAAUGUUUUCCAGAUUCACCCAUGUUGCAACAAGUAUCAGAACUUCAUUCCUUCUCAUCCAGCCAUCCAUCCAAUGUUGGACAUCUGAGUUGUCUCCAUCUUUCAGCUAUAGUGAAUAAUAUUGUUAUAAACACAUGCA
Talpa occidentalis (Iberian mole) is the source of this 1314-nucleotide long non-coding RNA. RefSeq lists it as uncharacterized. Lineage: Eukaryota; Metazoa; Chordata; Mammalia; Eulipotyphla; Talpidae. The record is from RefSeq and is a predicted model, not a curated record. The transcript has 7 exons.